UUUGACAAUCAACUAAAAAUAUAAAAAGAGUGUAUUACACUCGUGGUGAUGUGGCAAAUUCACGAAUAAACAACGUACAUGACAUUUUGAGUCAAAAUAACAAUGAAAAAAUUAUGACAAAAAAGGAAAACUAUUUUUAGGUCAAUGUCCACCCAUCAUCACCUCUUCAACUUUUCUUUUCCAGAAUGACGCCGUACACCAUUGUCGUCGCCACCAUCACCUUCGCAAAUCGAUCCUUCUUCAAUUUCAUCAGUUAUAUCCUCUUUGUUUCAUGUUUGGACAAAAAUUGAAGAAAAGUCAAUAAUUAAUGGUGAAAUUGAGCUAUUUCAAUGAAAAAAAAUAUUAUAUUUUGAAAAAGGAAAGUCAACAAUUAAUCUUUUUUUCUUCUUCUUUUGGUAUGAAUAGCAGAUCAUUAAAUUCCAAAAUAGAAAAAGAUGAAGACUUUAACAGUAGCAUUGUUAACCACUUCCCCUGCUACUCAUCGACCGCCGAUCACUUUUUCUUUUUUUCUUCUUUAUCAUAUAUCAACAAUGGUAGAUUUAGAUUUAAAAAUAAAAAAAGAAAUAAAAUUUUAAGAGAAAAAUAAUGUUCUAAGAUCUGGAGGAAAAAACAAAGCGAAAUAUUAACGGUAAAGGUGAUGGCGUUGUUUAUAUUGCCAAUUUAUAAUUUUGCUUACUUCCAUACAAUCAAGCAAUUCU
RNAcentral lists this long non-coding RNA (698 nucleotides) under Solanum tuberosum (potato). RNAcentral's name for it is "long non-coding RNA (STUB_LNC005208)". Lineage: Eukaryota; Viridiplantae; Streptophyta; Magnoliopsida; Solanales; Solanaceae. The record is from RNAcentral.